AUGCAAGUGGGCUGGUGCGUAGGUCUUCAAGACGCUGCCAACAAGGAAAUGUUGGGACAAGGGGUGGAAAUGCUACAGCGGGCGGCCAUCGAGAUACAUGAUGAAUCCAGUGUGGGACAAAGGAGGGCUCCCCUGCUGAUGGGGGACGACUGGGAGGCCCUCAAGAAGCUGCUAAUGAUGAUGAUACAAUGGAGGGAGACGAAGAUGAGAGAAACAAUGCGUGAGCUCCCCUGCAGCUCACAGACAGGCUGCUUGCUGUCCAUCUAUCAUCGGGUACUCCGGAUCGGAUCGUUUGAAAAUGGACAUCGUCAGUCUUUGUACUCCACUAGCUCUGCCUACAGCAUUUUAUUCGCUGUCCUGCAGCGUUUCCCUGGCGGCAAGGCCCUCUGGAAGACUUGGGCGCCGGCGAAAUGCAAACUUCACUCCUGGUUGGCCUUUAGACGGCGCCAUUGGAUGGCUGAUCGUCGUCUUCAGCACGGCAUGUCAUCCCAUGUGCUAUGUCCGCAGGGCGUUGUUUUUGCUCCGCGACACUAUAGUUGCCCACUAAACCUGUUGCGUUCUCUUCUGUAA
RNAcentral lists this ribosomal RNA (570 nucleotides) under Triticum aestivum (bread wheat). RNAcentral's name for it is "partial small subunit ribosomal RNA". Lineage: Eukaryota; Viridiplantae; Streptophyta; Magnoliopsida; Poales; Poaceae. The record is from RNAcentral.